GGGGUUUUAGUUUAGUUAUUAAAAUUUGAGUUUAGCAGUCUUGGGAGAUAAACUCCAU
This 58-nucleotide transfer RNA is filed under the name Aspiculuris sp. PC-2022. RNAcentral's name for it is "tRNA-Ala". Lineage: Eukaryota; Metazoa; Nematoda; Chromadorea; Rhabditida; Heteroxynematidae. The record is from RNAcentral.